This 242-nucleotide non-coding RNA is filed under the name Paenibacillus sp. Its description in RNAcentral is "T-box sequence". It matches the Rfam family "T-box leader". Rfam says of the family: Uncharged tRNA acts as the effector for transcription antitermination of genes in the T-box leader family. T-boxes are found upstream of many aminoacyl-tRNA synthetase genes and some amino acid biosynthetic genes usually in Gram-positive bacteria. The anticodon of a specific tRNA base pairs to a specifier sequence within the T-box motif, and the NCCA acceptor tail of the tRNA base pairs to a conserved bulge in the T-box antiterminator hairpin. The record is from RNAcentral. Lineage: Bacteria; Bacillati; Bacillota; Bacilli; Caryophanales; Paenibacillaceae.
AACAAAACUUUGACGGAGCCAAGCAUAACCCGAAUCGAUCAGAGAGCCGGUGGUUGGUGCGAACCGGACGAAUUCGAUAUGCGGAGCACUCCUGAGUUGUUGUGCCGAACAUAACAGUAGGCGCAGCCGGCCGGAAACCGUUAUUUUUCCCGGUCUGUUCAUAGCAGACCUCAUGAGGCUGUUGCGCGCGAGCGCACAGCGAAGUAGGGUGGUACCACGAGAAUCAGCUCCUCGUCCCUUGU